RNAcentral lists this ribosomal RNA (301 nucleotides) under uncultured bacterium. RNAcentral's name for it is "partial 16S ribosomal RNA". It matches the Rfam family "Bacterial small subunit ribosomal RNA", at positions 509 to 807 of the family's 1533-position model. The record is from RNAcentral.
CAGUCGCCGCGGGAAUACGUAGGGUGCGAGCGUUAAUCGGAAUUACUGGGCGUAAAGCGUGCGCAGGCGGUUCGUUAAGACAGAUGUGAAAUCCCCGGGCUUAACCUGGGAACUGCAUUUGUGACUGGCGGGCUAGAGUAUGGCAGAGGGGGGUAGAAUUCCACGUGUAGCAGUGAAAUGCGUAGAGAUGUGGAGGAAUACCGAUGGCGAAGGCAGCCCCCUGGGCCAAUACUGACGCUCAUGCACGAAAGCGUGGGGAGCAAACAGGAUUAGAUACCCCCGUAGUCCCUGUCUCUUAUAC